UGGGGAAUAUUGCGCAAUGGGCGAAAGCCUGAUCCAGCUACGCCGCGUGGGUGAAGAAGGCCUGCGGGUUGUAAAGCCCUUUCGGUGGGGAAGAAAAGCCUCGUUUUAAUACAGCGGGGUCUUGACGUAACCCAAGAAAGAAGCACCGGCUAACUAUGUGCCAGCAGCCGCGGUAAUACAGAGGGUGCGAGCGUUAAUCGGAAUUACUGGGCGUAAAGCGCGCGUAGGCGGCUUUGCAAGUCGGGUGUGAAAUCCCCAGGCUUAACCUGGGAACUGCAUUCGAGACUGCAUUGCUAGGGUAUGGGAGAGGGAAGUGGAAUUUCAGGUGUAGCGGUGAAAUGCGUAGAUAUCUGAAGGAACAUCAGUGGCGAAAGCGACUUCCUGGACCAAUACUGACGCUCAUGUGCGAAAGCGUGGGGAGCAAA
RNAcentral lists this ribosomal RNA (425 nucleotides) under uncultured bacterium. RNAcentral's name for it is "bacterial SSU rRNA". It matches the Rfam family "Bacterial small subunit ribosomal RNA", at positions 355 to 772 of the family's 1533-position model. The record is from RNAcentral.